RNAcentral lists this long non-coding RNA (244 nucleotides) under Elaeis guineensis (African oil palm). RNAcentral's name for it is "long non-coding RNA (EGUI_LNC062384)". The record is from RNAcentral. Lineage: Eukaryota; Viridiplantae; Streptophyta; Magnoliopsida; Arecales; Arecaceae.
GAGUAGGAUGCACCUAGAUAUAAUCUGAUUUUGGUAGAAAAAGAGAAGUCCUAUGUAAUUUGUGAGACUGAGUUUAGAAAAUCUUUGACCAAAGUAAGUGUGAAUACUGAAAAAAAAAUUUCAUAAAAUUUAUGAGUAAAUUCGAGUCGAGCCAAUUUGGCAUAUGACUGACAUUGAAGUUUAAUGACCUCUAUCAAGUUGAAACUCAUGAUAGAAGAACUGAAUCAGAUGGUAACUAUACCUA